This 732-nucleotide ribosomal RNA is filed under the name Salmonella enterica subsp. enterica serovar Dublin. Its description in RNAcentral is "partial 23S ribosomal RNA". It matches the Rfam family "Bacterial large subunit ribosomal RNA", at positions 558 to 1190 of the family's 2925-position model. The record is from RNAcentral. Lineage: Bacteria; Pseudomonadati; Pseudomonadota; Gammaproteobacteria; Enterobacterales; Enterobacteriaceae.
GUGUACGUACAAGCAGUGGGAGCCCCACCACUAAGCCAGUGGUGAACUCCACAUACGCAUCCUUUGCUGAGGAUACGGUUAACGGAGCGAAAGCGACGUUCAACCGCAAAAGAAGCAGAGGGGGCUUAGUGGUGGGGUGACUGCGUACCUUUUGUAUAAUGGGUCAGCGACUUAUAUUCUGUAGCAAGGUUAACCGAAUAGGGGAGCCGGAGGGAAACCGAGUCUUAACCGGGCGUUAAGUUGCAGGGUAUAGACCCGAAACCCGGUGAUCUAGCCAUGGGCAGGUUGAAGGUUGGGUAACACUAACUGGAGGACCGAACCGACUAAUGUUGAAAAAUUAGCGGAUGACCUGUGGCUGGGGGUGAAAGGCCAAUCAAACCGGGAGAUAGCUGGUUCUCCCCGAAAGCUAUUUAGGUAGCGCCUCGUGAAUUCAUCUCCGGGGGUAGAGCACUGUUUCGGCUAGGGGGCCAUCCCGGCUUACCAACCCGAUGCAAACUGCGAAUACCGGAGAAUGUUAUCACGGGAGACACACGGCGGGUGCUAACGUCCGUCGUGAAGAGGGAAACAACCCAGACCGCCAGCUAAGGUCCCAAAGUCAUGGUUAAGUGGGAAACGAUGUGGGAAGGCCCAGACAGCCAGGAUGUUGGCUUAGAAGCAGCCAUCAUUUAAAGAAAGCGUAAUAGCUCACUGGUCGAGUCGGCCUGCGCGGAAGAUGUAACGGGGCUAAACCAU